Molecule: non-coding RNA, 25 nt
Filed under: Mus musculus (house mouse)
Lineage: Eukaryota; Metazoa; Chordata; Mammalia; Rodentia; Muridae
Source: RNAcentral
UACAAGAACGAGGUGCAGGUCUGGA